Podarcis lilfordi (Lilford's wall lizard) is the source of this 3770-nucleotide non-coding RNA. The record is from the annotation of a GenBank genome assembly. NCBI's taxonomy places the organism in Eukaryota, Metazoa, Chordata, Lepidosauria, Squamata, Lacertidae.
AUGCAAGUGCCCACGUUUGCUUUUACCAAAGUUGUCUCCUAUAUCUUCCCAGUCGUGUUAAGCCUGCUACUGAUAGUCUGAUAGUUCUUAUUUGCAACCUUUUGACCUACCUCAUCAAAUAUGGAUAAUGAUGACAUACUGGGAUCUGAGUCUAGUAUCUGAGGCAUGAUAAGUUUCAUUUCCUAUUUCUCCACCUCCCACUCCCAGAAUUCCUGUAUCUUCUCACAUGAUCACCACUUAUGGAAAAACAGUAGGGACCUGACUCUUCACAGCCACUCCAGCAUAGUGGACUGUUAGCACUUGAAAUUCUAACAAGAGUGAGAUGAAGCAAGGUACUGAGUUCUCUCUCAUCCAGGAUGAUGCUGACCAGAACAGAAAUGGGUCACAGAUUUGCUUCCACUUUAUCAGCUCAAUUUUGAAGUCCUGCUCCCACAGCUUCCUUAAAGGUAAAGGUACCCCUGCCCGUACGGGCCAGUCGUGUCCGCCUCUGGGGUUGCGUGCUCAUCUCGCUCUAGAGGCCGUGAGCUGGCGCUGUCCGAAGACACUUCCGGGUCACGUGGCCAGCGUGACGAAGCUGCAGCUGGCGAGCCAGCACCAGUGCAGCACACGGAAACGUCGUUUACCUUCCCGCUAUAAAGCGGUCCCUAUUUAUCUACUUGCACUUAAGGGUGCUUUCGAAUUGCUAGGUGGGCAGGAGCUGGGACCAAACGACGGGAGCUUACCCCGCCGCGGGGAUUCGAACCGCCGACCAUACGAUCGGCAAGUCCUAGGCACUGAGGUUUUACCCACAGCGCCACCCGAUCCCCCCACAGCUGCCUUGGGGAGUGUCUAAUACCCCUGUGGCAACUCGCAAUAAAAUCUUUAAAACUUCCAAAAAAAUAAAAUAAGAAUACAACAGUUAAACCACACAUAUAAAAAGCAUUUGGAAACUUUUAAAAUACUCAUAAAUUACAAAAAUUCAUAUUCAAGGGAAACUAACAGUAAGAAACCCAUGUUAACUAGAAUCAGCCAUAUCUUAUAACCCAUACAAACAUACUCAUUGUGUGGUUUAGCAACUGCAUUAUUUUUUACCUUGAUAAGCCUUUGAUAAAGGCAAUUGUGCCCAAAUGUGAUGGGCAUAUUUAACAAUGAAGCAUUCCCAUUGUUUGGGCGUCUUUGAGAGACAUUUCUCUCCCCCCCCACACCCCUUUUAGGUUAGCGAAAAAUGCUCAGGUGGGUUGUGGCAUUCAAUUCUGGGCAUCCCUGGAUGCAGCAGAUUAUCUGGAAUCCAUUUUAAUCUGGUUCCCAAAUCCCAUGUCACUUUUUUUUUGGACUGAAGCGGCAUUGGUCUCCCUAGUGGACGACCUUCGCAAGGAGAGGGACAUAGAGAGUGUGACUCUAUUGAUUACCCUGGACCUCUCAGUGUGGCUUUCGAUACCAUCGACCAUUAUAUCCUAAUGGACCAGCUGGCUGGGAGGGAACUGGGGGCACUGGAGUCCAGUGGUUCCAGUCAAACCUGACAUGCUGGUUGCAGAGGGAGAUGCAAGGAGGCUGGUGUUGCUGCUACUAAGGGUUAUACAGAGUGUUUCCUGUGCUGUAUGAAACUACUAGAGGAAGUUGUCUAGGAAUUUACAGAGAGGUGCUGGUAGUAAGCUUAUAGCAGUUCAUUUCCCCUUUCAUCAAAUUUAGGUGAGGCCAGGGGUAGCCUGAAAAGGGGUCUGGAGCUAAUGCAUUGGGAGAUGGAGACCAAUAAAUUGCAACUUUAUACAACUUUAUUAAGGCAGCCUUUGUCAACCUAGUGGCUUACAGAUAUUGUUGGAGUCCAACUCCUAUCAGCCCCAGUGCACAUGGUCAACGGUCAAGGUUGAUGGGAAACGGAGUCUAGCAAUAUCUGAAAGGACAUGGGUUCCCCUUCCCUGCCACAGAACCAUAGAGUGGGAAGGGACCUUGGAGGUCACCUGAAUGCAAAAUCUGCAAUACAUGAUUUGCAAUUAUAAUAUCUCUGGCAAACAGGCUGGGCUUCAAGCCUUUGCUUCAAUGACUAGUAGCCAUUGAUGCUCCUCAUCGUCUAUGAAUUUGUCUAAUCCUCUUUUAAAGCCAUUUGUGUUGGUGGCCAUCACUGACUCCUUGUGGUCAGGUCUUGCAAAGCUCUAUGCACCUGGGUUUGAAAGCUCAGGUGAUCUGAUGUUUCAUCUUGCAAGACCUGGUAAUCAACUGAUGCCCAGGGUUUGGGUCAGCUGCAAACCUGCCAACCCUCUUUCAGCUGAGCCAGGUCCUUACCCGCCCCACCCCUGACAUCAUAUACAACAUAAUGUAUAGGACAGGUGGGUGUGGCUUAGCCAGAUGGGGAGCCUUAGUGGGCCUCAUUAACCCCUGAGGCUGGAGGUUGCCCACCACUGCUAUAACUCAAUAAACAGUCAUGCAGUUAAAAUAUGGAUAGCAUUAGGACAUCACAUUGCAAGCAUGUCACCUUUGGGCUAGCGUAAACCUGAGGCUUUGAAUCAAAGUUUGCACUGGAGGCUUCCUAGAUUGUUACACAGGUGCUGGGCUUCUGCAAGAUAUCAGCUCUCUCCUCUAUGAAUCUGUUGGAAAUCAAAAUAGAAGUUAGUGCAGUGCUAGUUAAAUGUCAUAAAGACUUGUGCUUUCUUCAGGCAAUGUGGAAGUAUGUAAUAAUGACUUGACUGAAAGUUAUGAGGAGAGCUCAGGCAAAAAAGGAAGCACCUGUAAAAGGACAUCGUGACCUGGCCAUUGUGCUCUGGUAUGGAUUUAUCCACUUUUCAGCAUGCUUUUUAAAAUCCCAAUAAGUGGAUGUUUUUCCCCACAUUGCUUUUAGCUCAGCCAAGCAAAGAUAAACUAAUUAGGGUUAUAAUUACAUAAGCAGUUUUAUGUUGUUUCUUUCACCACAUGGAGAGGUCCAUGUGGUUACACGGAUUGAGUAGCAGCAGGCAGCUGGACUGUCCAGCUGAGGAAUGUCAGGCUUAAGGUUGAUUCAUAAUUGAAAUGUAUGGCCCAAGUGCCACAUAGCGGAGAUGCACCACUUGGCUGGAAGAGAAAUAACGCCCCCCUCAACUGCCCAUGAUUGAAAGAUUGCCAAGCGAAUGCCUCUGAAAUGCUUUUGGCUUCAAACUUGGGUUGUCCUGUUGGCUAAUCAUCAGCACUUGCAUUCCCUCUUGUGACCACAAUUGGCUAAAAACCUCUGAAUAGCAAUGUUCCAUCAAUGAGCAGCUCACUAACUUUACAACACCUCGGAAGCUGUCAAAAGAAGAUGCAAUCGAUAAAGAUGAGAAUUAAGGUGUUGUUAUUGUGGACACCCAUUUGCCACUUUUGGUGAGCCAAAUAGACCCUCCAAGUGGUUCACAGUUAAAACCUAUUAUUUUUGGUGUGUCACUUUUUUUAAAAAAAAAUAUUUUUUUCUAUUGUAUGCAGCAAUGCAAACAAUAUAACACCUGAGAACAAUAAUGAAAGGGGCAUCUGAAAUUAAAGAUCUCAAGUUUGUUUGCCAUACAGUGAAGACAAGGGAGAGAUGAGAUCACCAAUGAGCCUGUCACUGAAAUGUCCACAGCUGUCCAUGCAUACAUGGUAGAUGGUUCUCUUGUCUGAUUCUCUGUAUGCACUGAAUAAAAUGAAACUAAAGAAUAGGAGAAACUGUCCAUUUUUGGGCAUCCUUAUGCUUUUUAAAUCUGACUUGUGAGCUUCUCAGCCAAAGCCAUGUUGCCGACACGACUAUACCAAGUGCCCAAGGAAACACCCUCAAGGGUCUGGCACUUAUGCACUAUUGCCGCCACCAAGAG